GACGGGACCCGCACAAGCGGUGGAUGAUGUGGUUUAAUUCGAUGCAACGCGAAAACCUUACCCACCUUUGACAUGUACGGAACCCUUUAGAGAUAGAGGGGUGCUCGAAAGAGAGCCGUAACACAGGUGCUGCAUGGCUGUCGUCAGCUCGUGUCGUGAGAUGUUGGGUUAAGUCCCGCAACGAGCGCAACCCUUGUCAUUAGUUGCUACAUUCAGUUGGGCACUCUAAUGAGACUGCCGGUGACAAGCCGGAGGAAGGUGGGGAUGACGUCAAGUCCUCAUGGCCCUUAUAGGUGGGGCUACACACGUCAUACAAUGGCUGGUACAAAGGGUUGCCAACCCGCGAGGGGGAGCCAAUCCCAUAAAGCCAGUCGUAGUCCGGAUCGUAGUCUGCAACUCGACUACGUGAAGUCGGAAUCGCUAGUAAUCGUGGAUCAGAAUGUCCCGGUGAAUACGUUCCCGGGUCUU
Molecule: ribosomal RNA, 468 nt
Filed under: uncultured Rhodoferax sp.
Lineage: Bacteria; Pseudomonadati; Pseudomonadota; Betaproteobacteria; Burkholderiales; Comamonadaceae
Description: bacterial SSU rRNA
Rfam family: Bacterial small subunit ribosomal RNA
Source: RNAcentral